GGUAGAGCUCAGUGGUAAAGCUCGUGCUUAGCAUGCACGAGGUCCUGGGUUCAAUUCCCCAGAACUUCCA
Molecule: transfer RNA, 70 nt
Filed under: Camelus bactrianus (Bactrian camel)
Lineage: Eukaryota; Metazoa; Chordata; Mammalia; Artiodactyla; Camelidae
Also listed under: 2 other names
Rfam family: tRNA
About the family: Transfer RNA (tRNA) molecules are approximately 80 nucleotides in length. Their secondary structure includes four short double-helical elements and three loops (D, anti-codon, and T loops).
Source: Rfam by way of RNAcentral